This 376-nucleotide ribosomal RNA is filed under the name uncultured bacterium. Its description in RNAcentral is "bacterial SSU rRNA". It matches the Rfam family "Bacterial small subunit ribosomal RNA", at positions 524 to 898 of the family's 1533-position model. The record is from RNAcentral.
UACAGAGGGUGCAAGCGUUAAUCGGAAUGACUGGGCGUAAAGGGCGUGUAGGUGGAUACAUAAGUCAAAGGUGAAAUCCCCGGGCUUAACCUGGGAACUGCCUGUGAAACUGUGAAUCUAGAGUAUGGGAGAGGGAAGUGGAAUUUCCGGUGUAGCGGUGAAAUGCGUAGAUAUCGGAAGGAACACCAGUGGCGAAGGCGACUUCCUGGCCUAAUACUGACACUGAGGCGCGAAAGCGUGGGGAGCAAACAGGAUUAGAUACCCUGGUAGUCCACGCCGUAAACGAUGAGAACUAGAUGUUGGGUAGCUAAGGCUAUCUAGUAUCGUAGCUAACGCGAUAAGUUCUCCGCCUGGGGAGUACGGCCGCAAGGUUAAA